RNAcentral lists this long non-coding RNA (1210 nucleotides) under Vulpes vulpes (red fox). RNAcentral's name for it is "lncRNA (ENSVVUG00000007949.1)". Lineage: Eukaryota; Metazoa; Chordata; Mammalia; Carnivora; Canidae. The record is from RNAcentral.
GAGGCAGCAGAGGCCCUCCCUGGGCAAUCUGAAGAGGGAGACCCAAGCAUUCCUGGUUGUUGUGAAACAACGAGUGAGCCUCAGACAGGGAUCAUCACGGGAUCUGGUCUCCUGACUACGAGAGGAUCUCUCCCAUUUCUAAAGAGCUCGCCUGUCCGGGGAGGGCGCUGAAGUGACAGGAACGUGCAAAACAUACUGGCCACAUGUCCUUCUGGAAGGAAAGUCAGCCCAGACUGCGCAGGAAACUGGAGAUUAAACAGAGGCCUGGGGAAGGCCGGGUUUGUUUUUGCUAAGAAACUCCUGGCUUGGGACGGCCGGGUGGCUCAGCGGUUGACUGUCUGCCUUUGGCCCAGGGUGUGAUCCUGGGGACCCAGGAUCGAGUCCCACGUUGGGCUCCCUGCAUGGAGCCUGCUUCUCCCUCUGCCUGUGUCUCUGCCUCUCUUUCUCUCUCUCUCUCUCUGUCUCUCAUGAAUAAAUAAAUAAACAAAUACAUAAAUAAUCUUAAAAAAAAAAAAGAAACUGUGGGAAAGGAGGUAGAGGCAGUCUGGCCAGGGGCACAGGUGCUGCCCGCCCGCCCAAGCACCAACUCUGCGGGCACCUGCCCUCAGCUGCUCCCUGCCCCCCCACCCCUGCCCCCAGAGGCCCCCUCGCUAAUGUUCAGCCCCCCCACACACACACACACACUUUCUCACUGUUCAGAUUCCUCAGGUGUGUCCCCUCGCAGAAGAAGGAGGCCAGGUGUUUCCCUGUCGGAACUCGUGGGCUCCCCGCCCGGCUUCAGAGGCUGAGCCUCCUCUCCGAACCAGGUGUGCCAGCAGGUGACAAAGGUUUGGGAGCCUGCCGAGAAGCAUGUGACAGGGAGCAGUGCCGAGGAGUGAUGCCGCUGCAGAUGCUUUCGCUCUUCCAGGCACGGAAGUUGUGCAAGACAGUUAAGCUGAGUCGGCUCAUCUACCAACUGUCCUUGGAGGUACCUCGGAGGUGCCACAGGUUCUGUCCCAGGCCACCAUAAGAACUCGAGUGUGACAGUAAAGCGAGCCCAGGGAGUGUCUUGGUUUUCCAGUGCCUAUGAAAGUUAUGUUUAGGGCGCCUGGGCGGCUCUGUUGGUGAAAUGUCUGCCUUCGGCUCAGGUCGUGAUCUCAGGUCCUAGGAUCGAGCCCAGCAUCAGGCUCCCUGCUCAGCGGAGAGUCCGCUUCUCCCUCUCCCUCUGCCC